CUUCUGUGGUCAUUUGCGGACCUUCAGCUCACCUGGUUCAUUCUGGGUUGGUUGGAGAUCAUCCGACUCUUGAUCACCUUUACUUUGAAAAAAUUAGAGUGUUCAAAGCAGGCUUACGCCGUGAAUACUAUUAGCAUGGGAUAACACCGUAGGACUUCGGUUCUAUUUUGUUGGUUUUUUAGCAACUGGAGUAAUGAUUGAUAGGGAUAGUUGGGGGUGCUAGUAUUCCGCGGCCAGAGGUGAAAUUCUCGUACUCGCGGAAGACUGACUACUGCGAAAGCAUUCACCAAGGAUGUCUUCUUUAAUCAAGAACGAAAGUUGGGGGAUCGAAGACGAUCAGAUACCGUCGUAGUCUUAACUAUAAACGAUGCCGACUAAGGAUCGGCAGAAGUCGUUAGCGACUCUGUCGGCACUUUGUGAGAAAUCAAAGUUUUUGGGUUCUGGGGGGAGUAUGGUCGCAAGGCUGAAACUUAAAGGAAUUGACGGAAGGGCACCACCAGGAGUGGAGCCUGCGGCUUAAUUUGACUCAACACGGGAAAACUCACCAGGUCCGGACAUAGUAAGGAUUGACAGAUUGAGAGCUCUUUCUUGAUUCUGUGGGUGGUGGUGCAUGGGCCGUUCUUAGUUGGUGGAGCGAUUUGUCUGGUUAAUUCCGAUAACGAACGAGACCUUAACCUGCUAACUAGUUGCAGGUACUUUUGUAUCUGACACUUCUUAGAGGGACUGACUA
This 730-nucleotide ribosomal RNA is filed under the name uncultured eukaryote. RNAcentral's name for it is "bacterial SSU rRNA". It matches the Rfam family "Eukaryotic small subunit ribosomal RNA", at positions 673 to 1426 of the family's 1831-position model. The record is from RNAcentral.